RNAcentral lists this long non-coding RNA (692 nucleotides) under Callithrix jacchus (white-tufted-ear marmoset). Its description in RNAcentral is "lncRNA (ENSCJAG00000079583.1)". The record is from RNAcentral. Lineage: Eukaryota; Metazoa; Chordata; Mammalia; Primates; Cebidae.
CAGUUUAGAAAUUAACAAAAUAAGACAAGAAUUUUUCUUUUUUUAAAAAAUGUAACGAAUACACACAUUUGCUUAAGGUGUACAGUUUACUACUUCUUUUACCCGCGUACCCCACACUACCAUGUCAGCACCCAAGCGAAGAGCUAUGGAACAGUUUUAUUUAUAUUUAUUUAUUUAUUUUAAGAUGGGAUUUCACCAUGACAGCCGGGCUGGUUUUGAACUCCUGGCCUCAGGUGAUCCACCCACCUCGGCCUCCCAAAGUGCUAGGAUUACAGGUGUGAGCCACUGUGCCUGGCGGGAACAUUUUUAUUUUUUACAUCCUGUUUAUGUUCUUUCACUUCUCCAGAACCAAGAACCUCCAGCACUUUGUUGACUGCAAAUGGUGAGAGCAGACAUCUUUGGUUCAUCUUUGGUUCCGACCUUAGAGGAAAAGCAUUCAUUGUUUCACACUUGGGGCCUGGCAGCUUGCAGAGCCAGCAGAUUCAACGUUAUUUGGCUGUCCAGUGGAAAGGCGCACAUGGGAAGAACGCCGUGUGAGGAGAGGAGUAAUGCUGUCACAAGCCAGUGGACCAUCAGAAGCUGGAGAGAGGCCUGGGACAGGUGCUCCCUCAGGGCCUCAGAAGGAAUCGGCCCUGCCGGCAACUUGAUCUUGGACUUCUAGCCUCCAGGAUGGUGAGACAACAACUUUCUGU